CCUACGGGUGAUGCAGUGGGGAAUAUUGGACAAUGGGCGAAAGCCUGAUCCAGCCAUGCCGCGUGUGUGAAGAAGGCCUUCGGGUUGUAAAGCACUUUCAGUGGGGAAGAAAGCCUUGGGGCUAAUACCCUCGAGGAAGGACAUCACCCACAGAAGAAGCACCGGCUAACUCCGUGCCAGCAGCCGCGGUAAUACGGAGGGUGCGAGCGUUAAUCGGAAUUACUGGGCGUAAAGCGCGCGUAGGCGGUCUGAUAAGCCGGUUGUGAAAGCCCCGGGCUCAACCUGGGAACGGCAUCCGGAACUGUCAGGCUAGAGUGCAGGAGAGGAAGGUAGAAUUCCCGGUGUAGCGGUGAAAUGCGUAGAGAUCGGGAGGAAUACCAGUGGCGAAGGCGGCCUUCUGGACUGACACUGACGCUGAGGUGCGAAAGCGUGGGUAGCAAACAGGAUUAGAUACCCGAGUAGUC
This 464-nucleotide ribosomal RNA is filed under the name Vreelandella stevensii. RNAcentral describes it as "partial 16S ribosomal RNA". It matches the Rfam family "Bacterial small subunit ribosomal RNA", at positions 338 to 795 of the family's 1533-position model. The record is from RNAcentral. Lineage: Bacteria; Pseudomonadati; Pseudomonadota; Gammaproteobacteria; Oceanospirillales; Halomonadaceae.